This 118-nucleotide ribosomal RNA is filed under the name Pteropus alecto (black flying fox). The record is from RNAcentral. Lineage: Eukaryota; Metazoa; Chordata; Mammalia; Chiroptera; Pteropodidae.
GUCUUUGGCCAUGCCACCCUGAACAAGUCCGAUCCCGUCUGAUCUUGGAAGCUAAACAGGGUCGGGCCUGGUUAGUACUUGGAUAGGAGACCACCUAGGAAGACCAGUGCUGCAGGUG